UGGCUGACACAAAAUGGCUACUGAAAUUGUUUUCCUGACAAAAUCGCUGAUGCUUGUCAACUUUCACUGUGCGCAUAUGCUCCAAGUCAAUUUUAUUUCCAACCAAGGCCACAAGUGGCUGCAUUUCUGAUUCUUCAGUCACUUUUUUAACCACAUUAUACCAGUCCUCUAAAUUUUCAAAGCUCUGGCAGUUGGUAAUAUCAUACACCAAAAGAAUACCCUGAGCUCCAUAAAUAUAUUUAUCCAGCAUCUUGCCUCCUAUCGUUUGUCCCCC
RNAcentral lists this long non-coding RNA (274 nucleotides) under Gallus gallus (chicken). Lineage: Eukaryota; Metazoa; Chordata; Aves; Galliformes; Phasianidae. The record is from RNAcentral.